ACUUCACCCAUGGUGCUAAAAAUCAGAAGUAUGAAGUUAGACCACAUUACCUCUUUUAGUUACGCCCAUCCUUAUCCUCUGUGCAUGGGUUCUUAGGCUUGGAGCCAACUAAAACUGCAGCAGGUAUUUCCAAUUUAAAGAAUUAACAAACAAAAUGUUCCUGUGAGGCUAAGAGUUUAGUGUGGUUCUAGGAACUAAGAAAGGCCAAAGUUACUUGGGAUUUGUGGAGAAAGGGCCCAAAGUCAUGUGUUGUGGCUGACAAAUUAGGCAGGGGCCACAUAACGAAGCUCUUGAAAGACAUUGAGAGAUGAGAUUUUUAUUCCAGCUGUAUGGCUAGAAACCCCUUUUUUUUUUUUUUUGUACUGGGGUUUGAACCCAGGGCUUCAAAUAUGCUAACCAAAUGCUCUGCCACUGAGCUGCAUUCUCAGCCCUCACCUGAAACUUCUGAGUAAGGGAGACUCGAUCUGAUGUAAAGGACAUACCUGGCCAUGGUGACAAGAACAGAAUGUGAGGGAAAAAUGUAGAAGAAAGAAGACCUAUUGAGAAAGAUGGCAGUGAUCCAGGAAAGAGAUGUCCACAGCCUGGAUCAGGGUGGUAUCAAGAAGGACAGUGAGGAGGCCCCAGAUCGUGCAUAUGUUUUGAAAUAUUUUAAAUAUCUAUGACAGAUUUUAUGAAGGAUCAGAUAGGGAAAGGAGAGAAGGAGAAAGUGAAGAAUGAUUCCAAUCUGUUUGUUUGUUUUAGUGUUACUGAGGAUUGAAUGCAGGCCCUUGUAUAUUCCAGGCAACUUCUCUGUCACAGAGCUAUACCCCCAGCCCAGUCUCCAGAUUGUUACCCUGAGCAAUUUAGUAAACAAUAAUGUCAUUGACAAAGAAGGGAUAUGCUGGAGGAAGAGAAAAUGUGAUGGGAAUCAAGAGUUCAGGUCCCAUCCAUCAAAGUUGAAAUCGGUGUAUGUUUCACAUGGGAGCUGAAAAAUGCUUAGCGACAAUGACGAUAAUAACCUAAUUCCGAAAACAAAGAAGCAUGGACUAAUGACAUUGAAAGACAGGAGAAAGAAGAGGAAGCAAAGAAGAAGGAAGAGGAUAAUCAAGAACAAGAUGAAGAGAAGAAUUUGGUGACAAAGAUCUAAGCAUCUUUUCUUUGACCUGAAAGUCAACUCAAAGGCCAACUGCAGGACAUUUUUUUUUUUCUGUGUCUCAACUUGCUUAUUUGGUAAAUGGAGAUACAGCUCAAGUUAAUAUAUUUUGCAGAGAUACAUAUGAACAAUUGAUAACAGUGUUAUUCACUCUGAGUGCCCAUCAGGCACAUAUGAUUCCCAUCGAUAAUGAGCUGCCUUCAUUAGUUUCUGAAUGAUUCUGCCUACAGAUUAUAUUUCUUAAAGGUUAUAUUUUGUUUGUUUCCGGUGAAGCUAGAGAUAUUCAUGUGUCACAGUGAUGAUGUCAUAUUUUUAAAAAGAGUAAACCCUUUAUUAUAGUAUAUACAUGCUACAUUACUCCACCAAUGCUAAUAAAUUUGGGGAGAAUUGGUUGCUAAAGAUUUAAGACUUAAGGAGCAAAAUUCCAUACAGUCACCAAAAGGUCCCAAAGCCAUGCAGAUACCUAAGAAUAAUAUAAUCAUUUUUUGUGGCAUUUAUAUGAACAUAAAAUAAAGAAAUGGCUCAAAUAUUCAUUGAAUUACAUUCCCAGGGAGCUUAUACAAAAUAAAGUGACAAUAUAUCAUACACUGACUAGUACAAAUUGCUUUCCAAACUGGAUAUUCAUAGAGGGC
Long non-coding RNA from Fukomys damarensis (Damara mole-rat), 1764 nucleotides. Lineage: Eukaryota; Metazoa; Chordata; Mammalia; Rodentia; Bathyergidae. The record is from Ensembl.